This 255-nucleotide ribosomal RNA is filed under the name uncultured bacterium. Its description in RNAcentral is "partial 16S ribosomal RNA". It matches the Rfam family "Bacterial small subunit ribosomal RNA", at positions 524 to 776 of the family's 1533-position model. The record is from RNAcentral.
UACAGAGGGUGCAAGCGUUAAUCGGAAUUACUGGGCGUAAAGCGUGCGUAGACGGUUGCAUAAGUCAGAUGUGAAAAGCCCCGGGCUCAACCUGGGAAUUGCAUUUGAGACUGUGUAGCUAGGGUGCGGAAGAGGGAAGCGGAAUUUCCGGUGUAGCGGUGAAAAUGCGUAGAUAUCGGAAGGAACACCAGUGGCGAAAGCGGCUUCCUGGUCCAGCACCGACGUUCAGGCACGAAAGCGUGGGGAGCAAACAGG